CUCAGUUCAGAUCGUAGGCUGCAACUCGCCUACGUGAAGGCGGAAUCGCUAGUAAUCGCAGGUCAGCAUACUGCGGUGGAUACGUUCCCGGGCCUUGUACACACCGCCCGUCACACCAUGGAAGUUGGCCACGCCCGAAGCCGUUACUCCAACCCUUGUGGAGGAGGACGUCGAAGGUGGGGCUGAUGACUGGGGUGAAGUCGUAACAAGGUAUCCGUACCGGAAGGUGCGGAUGGAUCACCUCCUAACAGGGAGACAACACAAUGAUUUUGAUGCCUGAGUGCUUUUAUUCUUAGGCCGAAAUCCUGUCACCUUAGGUCGAUCGGUACCUCAGCUUUGAAGUCAAGGAUCAGCAGCAAUGUUGAUUGCUUGAUGGAGAUUUUCAGUUCCUAAACUUUGUCUAGGUCACACCCCAAAAGGGAUGAGACUCCUGGGCCAUUAGCUCAGGUGGUUAGAGCGCACCCCUGAUAAGGGUGAGGUCCCUGGUUCAAGUCCAGGAUGGCCCAUUCGGUGUUGGGGGUUUAGCUCAGUUGGUAGAGCGCCUGCUUUGCAAGCAGGAUGUCAGGAGUUCGAGUCUCCUAACCUCCACUGACCGAACUUGAUUCCCAUCUCCAAUUUUUUGGAGUUGAGCUCGAUUGGAGUGUGAUUUAGAUGUGUCCGCUGGAUGACCCCAGCUUCCUGUCAUUCCAAGUUUUAGGUUUAAGCCUUGAAUUUGGUUGAUAAGAUGCUGGGCUCGGAUC
This 740-nucleotide unclassified non-coding RNA is filed under the name uncultured Synechococcus sp. Its description in RNAcentral is "partial contains 16S ribosomal RNA and 16S-23S ribosomal RNA intergenic spacer". The stretch from base 1 to 248 matches the Rfam family "Bacterial small subunit ribosomal RNA", at positions 1287 to 1533 of the family's 1533-position model. The record is from RNAcentral. Lineage: Bacteria; Bacillati; Cyanobacteriota; Cyanophyceae; Synechococcales; Synechococcaceae.